UACGUAGGGGGCGAGCGUUGUCCGGAUUCAUUGGGCGUAAAGCGCGCGUAGGCGGCAGGGCAAGUCGGCCGUGAAAUCUCCCAGCUUAACUGGGAGGGGUCGGGCGAGACUGCCCCGCUAGAGGCGGGUAGAGGGCAGUGGAAUUCCGGGUGUAGUGGUGGAAUGCGUAGAGAUCCGGAGGAACACCAGUGGCGAAGGCGGCUGCCUGGGCCUGGCCUGACGCUGAGGCGCGAAAGCGUGGGGAGCGAACAGG
This 253-nucleotide ribosomal RNA is filed under the name uncultured bacterium. RNAcentral's name for it is "partial 16S ribosomal RNA". It matches the Rfam family "Bacterial small subunit ribosomal RNA", at positions 524 to 776 of the family's 1533-position model. The record is from RNAcentral.